This is a small nucleolar RNA of Caenorhabditis elegans, 235 nucleotides long. The record is from Ensembl. Lineage: Eukaryota; Metazoa; Nematoda; Chromadorea; Rhabditida; Rhabditidae.
UUUUUUUUUGGAAAAUGAAUAGAAAAUAAAAUUUUUCAUGUAAACCUAUAGGGUCUACAGCGAAAAAGCACUCGAAAAUGUAAUUGAAAGAAGGAACGUCGCCAUGGCAACGGGAGAAGUGGGCUAGUGGAGUAACUCAUCGAUUUUCGCAAGCUUCUUUAAGAAAUGUUCACGAAAACGGACACCUGUACUAAAUACUUUCAAUGUUUGAUGGGACAUUUCGCCUUGUCGACGA